Molecule: unclassified non-coding RNA, 334 nt
Organism: Otolemur garnettii (small-eared galago)
Lineage: Eukaryota; Metazoa; Chordata; Mammalia; Primates; Galagidae
Gene: 7SK
Rfam family: 7SK RNA
About the family: 7SK was discovered as an abundant small nuclear RNA in the mid-70s but a possible function has only recently been suggested. Two independent studies have found that 7SK RNA binds the CDK9/cyclin T complex (known as elongation factor P-TEFb).
Source: Ensembl
GGAUGUGAGAGUAACCUGGCUGUGGUAUCUGUGGGAUUGAGUCAGCUGACCUAGCUGGCUAGGGAGGUGUCCUCCCCCUCUCUGACCAUUCCAUGGGCAUCCCUCCAGGAGCUGCAUGCUUGGGAAAGAGGAUGAAUUUCCCUGAUACAAGAGGACCGUUCUUUGAUCAAGGAUAUACAAGUAGCCAUGCUCCCUUGCUAGAAUCCCCUCAAAAUGUCCUUUUUUAUUAAGUUGUGAUGAUUCCAAGAAAUUGUACCUGACCGUCUGCCAUAAAGCAGGGGUUGAAAACUCACAGCUACUAUCAAAUCUAGUCUUAGAGAAGUCCUUGUUGUUU